AGGAGAUGCCUGCCUUAAGUCUAAAGACUCUGACAGGUUUGGGAAUAUCUAAAAUUCCGUAGUCUCCUGGUGAUCUAUUUGCAGGAGAGUCAAGGCUCUCCUGAGAUGAAGUCAGCCUAAGGGGAGAGGGAGCAGGUUCUGAGCUGGACCAGUAACAGCGUGGUCCUGGAUCACUAAGGGCGAAUUGUGCUCCUGAGUCGUGAAGGGAAGUCUGCAUCUUGCCGGGACAGAGGAAUCGUGCAAACACCUAAGAGAUGGUGUACUCAAAACCCUAGGCACCAAGGAUCUACUCCUGAUGCAGGACCUUGGGAGGAACAUUUGGAUCCAAGAGAAAAAGGCCUGGUGUGUAAUCUCAAGAGCAACCCUCCUUUCUCUUAGCUGCCCGGAGAGAAGGCGCCAUGACAGCUCCUUUCCCUCGUGUAGCACAACGCCCAUUCUUCUGCGGCCUGUGACGUCUCAUCCCUGCCCCCCGCCACCCCGGCCUCUUGCCGCCCAAGAGCCCCAGAGCAAUGCCCAGCCAUUGCUGCUUCAUGUCACGCCAGGACCCUGGAGCGUCAUCCUCAGAGGAAUCCAGAUCCUGAUGGGGCUAUCCACGGGCUGGAUGUCUGGGCCACAUAUCAUGGUGCCUGAAAGCCCAGGAAGAAGGGGGCACGUGUAGAGGAGAGAAUCCUUGGGGGCAGGUAUCCACUGAGACGCCUCCCACAUUCGGCAGCAUCUCAUCUUUUAUGGGAUAUGGACGACUAUGGUAAUGGUGGAAAGACAGAGUUGGGCAGGAAAUCUGAAUGCUGUUAUAAUAUGGAGAGGGGACUUCUGCAUAUAAAUUUUGGGCAAGUUUA
Molecule: long non-coding RNA, 836 nt
Organism: Neofelis nebulosa (Clouded leopard)
Lineage: Eukaryota; Metazoa; Chordata; Mammalia; Carnivora; Felidae
Exons: 3
Source: RefSeq, a predicted model, not a curated record